RNAcentral lists this ribosomal RNA (278 nucleotides) under uncultured prokaryote. Its description in RNAcentral is "partial 16S ribosomal RNA". It matches the Rfam family "Bacterial small subunit ribosomal RNA", at positions 524 to 801 of the family's 1533-position model. The record is from RNAcentral.
UACGAAGGGUGCAAGCGUUAAUCGGAAUUACUGGGCGUAAAGCGCGUGUAGGUGGUUUGUUAAGUAGGGCGUGAAAGCUCCCGGCUCAACUGGGAGAGGUCGCUCUAAACUGGCAAGCUAGAGGAUGGAAGAGGGAGGUGGAAUUCCGGGUGUAGCGGUGGAAUGCGCAGAUAUCCGGAGGAACACCAGUGGCGAAAGCGGCCUCCUGGUCCAUUCCUGACACUCAGACGCGAAAGCUAGGGUAGCAAACGGGAUUAGAUACCCGCGUAGUCCCUGAG